This is a long non-coding RNA of Lepidothrix coronata (blue-crowned manakin), 365 nucleotides long. RefSeq lists it as uncharacterized. The transcript is spliced from 3 exons. Lineage: Eukaryota; Metazoa; Chordata; Aves; Passeriformes; Pipridae. The record is from RefSeq and is a predicted model, not a curated record.
AAAGGUUGAGCAGAAAUGGCUUCCAACACCCAACUCUUCUUCCGGUGUGGUUUCUUUUCUGUCUUUGAGGGGCUUCAGAGCUCUGGGCCUUCAAAAGAGAAGUGAAACACAAACCAGAGAUAAAGUACUUCAAAUUACACAAGUGUUACCAGGAAGAAAGCUCAGAAUGGAAGAAUAAAAUCUAGUGGUGCCCUGCGUUAGAUAAAAGAUUGUGAAUUCAGAGUUCUGGAAACACCAUUAUUGUUCCAGAAAACAUACAGGACCUGUGGCAACCCUGGGCCUGGACACACCUGCCAGCACCUACUUCAAAGACUGUGUGGAAAGAGGAGCUACAAACAUCCCACUCUGCUGUUUGUUAGACACAC